Long non-coding RNA from Passer domesticus (house sparrow), 6674 nucleotides. RefSeq lists it as uncharacterized. Lineage: Eukaryota; Metazoa; Chordata; Aves; Passeriformes; Passeridae. The record is from RefSeq and is a predicted model, not a curated record. The transcript is spliced from 2 exons.
ACAGCCCCGAGUGCUGGGGCCAGCCCCGGGCCAGCCCCGGGCCGGCCCCGGCUCCCCGCGCAGCCCACCCUCGGUGUUUCCCUGCUGGUUGUGAUACCCGCACCCCUCAGGGGGGUUUUCCUUGUGGGGUUUGAGUUCUCAUGCUUGACUACUGGAUGGUUGGGUUUGUUUUUUUAUUUUUGGGUUUUUUUUGGUUUUGAGUAGGAGCCUCCCCGGGGUGUGAUCACGUGGGAGUGUGUGGGAGAUGAGCUUAGAGGUUGAAAAAAACAACAAAACAAAGGAAAAAAAAAAAAGGAAAAAAAUUGAAAAAGAGAAGAAAAGGAAAAACCUUCUGUGACCAGGAGAGAGCCACCAACGCCAGGAGCAGACAAAGCUGUCCCUGAAGAGCUGGCUUGGAAUUCCGGCAGGGAUCGUGGAGCUCUGCCCUGGGGGACCCGAGGUGCCCUCCAGGCUGCUUUGGGCAGGGAUGCUCCAGAGGCCCAGCAGGACCGGGAUCAGGACCAGGAUUGGGAUCAGGACCAGGAUUGGGAUCAGGAUCAGGACCAGGAUUGGGAUCUCUGGCUCCUCACCUUUGCUGCUCUCAGGACUGCACCAGCCACGCUCCCUGACUGCUGCCCCGGCUGCUGGGCUGCUCGGAGCCACAGCUGCCCUGCCUCCACCCCCACUGCAAUUCCCACAAGGAUUCCCAUCCCGCUGGAUUCCCAGAAAAGUUCCCGUCCUGCUGGAAUUCCUAGAAGAGUUCCCACCCUGCAGGAUUCCCAGGAGGAUUCCUAUCCCAGUGGAAUUCCCAGAAGAGUUCCCAUCCUGCAGGAAUUACCAGAAGGAUUUCCAUCCUGCAGGAUUCCCAAGGGUUCCAGUCCCCCUGGAAUUCCCAGAAGAGUUCCCAUCCUGCUGGAAUUCCCAGAAGCAUUCCCAUCCCACUGGAAUUCUCAGGAUUCCCAUCCUGCAGGAUUCCCAGAAGGAAUCCCACUGGAAUUCCUGGAAGCAGCAGUGCUGAUCCUGUCGCUGGCGAUGGGCUCGGGGCAGGGAGGAGAAGCAGCUGCAGCUCCAAUGUCACAGAAUCCCAGAUCCCAUGAUCCCAGAUCCCAUUAUCCGUGAUCCCAGAAUCCCAUUAUCCAUGAUCCCAGAUCCCAUUAUCCAUUAUCCAUGACCCCACAAUCCCCAGGCUGGAAGUCACCUUCAAGGCCAUGGAGUCCACGCCAGCCAAGCCCCAGCGCCACGAGUCAAACCCCAGUCCUGGCUGCUCCUGGCACAGCUGGGAUGGGCUUAGGUGCUGAUCCUGCCCCUAAACCCACCCCAAACCCCAGUCCUGGCUGCUCCUGGCCCAGUUGGGAUGGGGUUGGAAGUUAAUCCUGCUCCUAAAUCCCAGUCCUGCAGCCCUGGCCCAGCUGGGAUGGGCUUAGGUGCUGAUCCUGCUCCCAAAUCCACCCUAAAUCUCACUCCUGGCACAGUUAGGAUGGGGCUGGAAGUUGAUCCUGCUCCUAAUCCCACCCCAAACCCCAGUCCUGGCUGUUCCUGGCACAGUUAGGAUGGGCUUAGGUGCUGAUCUUGCUCCCAAAUCCACCCCAAACCCCAGUCCUGGCUGCUCCUGGCACAGCUGGGAUGGGGUUGGAAGUUAAUCCUGCUCCUAAACCCCAGUCCUGCAGCCCUGGCCCAGCUGGGCUGGGUUGGGACCCUGAAGCCCCCAGGCCCCUGUGGGACCCCCCAGGCCCCCCUGGGCUCUGCAGGACCCCAAAUCCUGCCCGGCCCCCCGGGCUCUGCAGGGAAUCCCCUCCCAGUGCUCCCAGUCCGUCCCUGGGGCAGCAGCCUGGACCUGCCAGGUGCUGCAGAGCUCCUGAGAGUGGAGAAGUCACUUCCCAGAAAAAAGGAGAAUUUUCAGCAUUUGAGGAAAAAGGAGAAUGCUCACAGCUGAGAAAAAAGGAGAAUUUUCACAUUUGAGAGUGGAAAAUUUUCACCAUUUGAGAGCAAAGGAGAAUUUUCAGCAUUUGAGAGCAAAGGAGAAUUUUCACAUCUGAGAGUGGAAAAUUUUCACAAUUGAGAAAAAAAGGAGAAUUUCUUCAUUCUUGAGAGCAAAAGAGAAUUUUCACCUUUUGAGAAUUCAGGAGAAUUUUCACCACGUGAGACUUGAGAAUUUUCACCAUUUGAGAACAAAGGAGAAUUUCUUCACUCUUGAGAGCAAAGGAGAAUUUUCACAUUGGAGAGUGGAAAAUUUUCCCCAUUGAGAAAAAGGAGAAUUUUUCAUGUUUGAGAGUGGAAAAUUUUCCCCAUUUGAGAAAAAAGGAGAAUUUUUCACCACGUGAGACUUGAGAAUUUUCACAUUUGAGAACAAAAGAGAAUUUUCAUAUUUGAGACUUGAGAAUUUUCACAUUUGAGAACAAAAGAGAAUUUCUCCACUCCUGGGAGCAAAGGAGAAUUUCCACUUUUCCCACAUUUUCCCACCGUUCCCAAUUCCCACCAGGAGGAUUUCACCCUCUGCUCCUCUCCUGGAUCCCAGCACUGCCACAAUUGGAAUUUUUGAACUCUGCACAACUCCAAACUGCUUCUCACCCGCUGCUUUCCCAGCUUUUGUAGGAGCUCAAACCCGAGUGAUGCUUUGGAGAGCCGAGCAAAACCACAGCUUCCACUUUUUGGGUCGUUGAAUUUCAUUUUUUUCUGGGAAUUUUGGCACCCUGGAAGCUCAGACUCGCUGCUGAAACACAUGAAGUUGGAAAAAAAAAAUGUAAAUAUCGAUGCAAAAAAAACAAAGCAGCAUCUUGCAAGACAAUGGAUUUAUUUAACAUUUAUUGGUACUUUGAAAUAUUGGAGUCAAUGUAUAAAAAACUUGGUGCACUUUUCCUACCUGACAGUAUUUUGGGGGGUUUUAUGUUCUUUUGUUAUGGGUUUUGUGCUGUCUUUUUUAAUCAGUGGAAUUGUUUAAGUAUUUAAUUUAUUCUUCUUGAUGUGCCCAGAGGACUUGUGCAAUUUUUAUUCAAUACAGUUGGUCUGUAUUUCAUGGCAGGAUUUUUUUCCUUAGUGUUUUUAGGGAAUAUUUGUCCAAAAUUACCUUUUUUUUUUUUUUCCCCCAUCCCAAUUUUCCUUUUUCCCACCCCCUCCUUUCCCUUUGUGUUCCCAGCACUGAAAUUUGAGAUAAACCCAACACCUGCAAUCCCCAACCCAAAACUUUCUCCAGGAAAAAAAAGAAAAAACACGUUAAGGAUGCACUUCUCCCUCUCUCUGUGUUUCUUGCAUUUUUAUUUCUCCCUGGGGGGUCGUGGGCUCCAAAUUUCAGUUUGGAGAUGGGGAAGGCGUGCAGAAAAUUCAAUUUUCAGAUUGAAAUUUGAGCAUUUCCAGGCUCUGAGGGAGGCGACACAAAAAGAAUAUUUUGGUUUUUCUGCCUGAAAAGCAGCUGGAUUUGUGUUGUACCCACCUGGCUGGAAGAUUUGAUGCCCUAAAUUGGUUUUUUUUUUAAUAUUUUUAAAUUUUUCUCUAUUUUUCCAAGGGGUUGUGAGUGUUUUCUCUUGGAUUUAACCACAUUUAACAGGAGGAAUUAAAAAGCAAAGUCCCCUCAGCCACCAGGAUCCUCCAUCCUUGGAAUUUUUGGGAUCUGGGGGAAUUUUUCUCUAUUUUUUUAUUUAUCCAGAGCCAAGUGCCUGGGCUUGGAUCCAGCCCGGGCUUGGCUCUGAUUCCAGCUGGGAUUUUCAAUUUUCCAGGGAUUUUUUCAGGUGAUUUCAGCCUUGCUGCCUCUGAGUUGGGAAAAAAAUAAUUUUUUUUUAAUUUUUUUAAAGGAAAAAUUAAAAAAAAAAAAGGGAUUGGAAGAUUUGAUGCCUUUAACCAAAAAUCCAGGGGGGAGAAGCUGAGCUGGGCUGGCACCAAACAGAAUUAUCCAUUGGAAAAUACCUCUGAGAUCACAAAAUUCAUUAAUUAAUCACAAAAUUCAUUAAUUAAUCACCAUCCAUUCAUGAUCUCGCAGCUUCCAGGAGAGAACUGGAGGGAGGAUUUGGGGAUUGAGGGAUCAGGAAAUGCCAAAAUCAGGGUCAGGAGCUGCAAAAAUUCUGUGAUUUCUGCCAGAAAAACCCGGGAGCUGCUGGAGGAAUGCACAGAACUCCACCAGGGGGGAAAAAAUGGAAUUAUUGAGGUGCUCACAAUUCCUGGUUGGGUUCUGGGGCUUCUCACAAUUCCUGCGUUGAGUUUUUGGGUUUUUUAGCAAUUCCUGGUUGGAGUUUUGGAGGUUUGUAGCAAUUCCUGGGUUGAAUUUUUGAGUUUCUCAACAAUUCUUGGGUUGAGUUUUGGGGUUUUGGAGUUCCUCAGCAACUCCUGGUUUGGAUUUUUGGAGUUUCUCACAAAUCCUGGUUUGAAUUUUGGAGUUUUUUUAGCAAUUCCUGGGUUGAAUUUUUGAGUUCUUCACCAAUUCCUGGUUUGGAUUUUUGGGUUCCUCAGCAACUCCUGAUUUGAAUUUUUGAGCUUUUUAUCAAUUCCUGGUUUGACUUUUGGAGUUCUGGAGUUCUUCAGCAAUUCCUGGUUGGAAUUUUUGGGUUCCUCAGCAAUUCCUCGUUGGAGUUUUGGGGUUCCCCAGCAGCUCCUGGUUUGAAUUUUUGGGUUUCUCACCAAUUCCUGGUUGGAGUUUCAGAGUUUUGGAGUUCUUCACUAAUUCCUGGUUGGCUUUUUGGGUUCCUCAGCAACUCCUGGUUGGAAUUUUUGAGUUUUUUAGCAAUUCCUGGUUUAACUUUUGAAGUUCUGGAGCUCCUCAGCAAUUCCUGGUUGGAUUUUUGGGUUCCUCAGCAAUUCCUGGUUUGAAUUAUUGAGUUUCUCACAAUUCCUGGUUGGAGUUUUGGAGUUCUGGAGCUCCUCAGCAAUUCCUGGUUGGAUUUUUGAGUUUUUUAGCAAUUCCUGGUUGGAUUUUUGGGUUCCUCAGCAAUUCCUGGUUGGAUUUUUGAGUUUUUUAGCAAUUCCUGGUUGGAUUUUUGGGUUCCUCACCAAUUCCUGGUUUGGAUUUUUGAGUUUUUUAGCAAUUCCUGGUUGGAUUUUUGGGUUCCUCAGCAAUUCCUGGUUGGAUUUUUGAGUUUUUUAAGCAAUUCCUGGUUGGAUUUUUGGGUUCCUCAGCAAUUCCUGGUUGGAUUUUUGAGUUUUUUUAGCAAUUCCUGGUUGGAUUUUUGGGUUCCUCAGCAGUUCCUGGUUGGAUUUUUGAGUUUUUUAGCAAUUCCUGGUUGGAUUUUUGGGUUCCUCCCGGCCCUGCUGUCCCUGUCCGGGCAGAGGGGCCGGGGUGGCCCCGAGCGCUGGGGCAGAGCUGGGGCAGGGUCAGGAGGAACAACGGGAAUUGGGGCUCCCGGGGGGGUUGGGGUGUCCCUGUCCCUGUCCCCAGGGGCCACCUGGGAACGGCUCCUCCGGCUGCUGGGGGGCUGCGCCCGGAAUUCCCACCGGGAAUGAGCCUGGGGGGAGGGGACACCGGGAGGGGACACCUGGGGACACUGGGGGGGACAGCUGGGGACACCUGGGCUGCCACGGCUGCGUGUCCCUACAGCGGGGACAGGGCUGGGGACAGGGCCACAGGGCCUGGGGCCACCACGGCGACAGGGAGGGGUCCUUUGGCCACCUCCGAGAAUUUUUGGCCACCUCAGUUGUUUUUGGCCAGGCCAGAAGCCCAGUUUUGGUUAUCUUGGAUGGUUUUUGGCCAUCUCUGACAUUUUUUUUGGCCAUCUCAGAGGAUUUUUUGGCCAUCUUAGAAGAUUCUGGCCAGGCCAGAAGCCCCUUUUGGCCAUCUCAGUGAUGCUUUUGGCCACCUCAGUGAUGUUUUUGGCCACCUCAGUGAUGCUUUUGGCCACCUCAGUGAUGUUUUUGGCCACCUCAGUGAUGUUUUUGGCCAGCUCAGUGAUGUUUUUGGCCAGCUGAGGAGUUUUUGGCCAGCUCAGAGAUUUUUUUUUUGGCCAGCUCAGAGGGUUUUGGCCACCUGGGAGGUUUCUUGGCCAGGCCAGAAUCCCUUUUUGGUUAUCUCUGAGAUUUUUUUGGCCGUCUCAGGUUGUUUGGCCAGCUGGGAAGUUUUUGGCCAGGCCAGAAUCCCUUUUUGGUUAUCAUCUUCGAUGAUUUUUGGCCAUCUCUGACAUUUUUUGGCCAUCUCCGAGGUUUUUGGCCAUCUCAGAAUCCCUUUUUUGGUUAUCUCUGAUAUUUUUGGUUAUCUCUGAUAUUUUUGGUUAUCUCAGAUGUUUUUGGUUAUUUUGGACAUUUUUGGAUGUUUUAUCUCUGAUAUUUUUGGUUAUCUCUGAUGUUUUUGGUUAUUUUGGACAUUUUUGGAUGUUUUAUCUCUGAUAUUUUUGGUUAUCUCUGAUGUUUUUGGUUAUUUUGGACAUUUUUGGAUGUUUUAUCUCUGAUAUUUUUGGUUAUCUCAGAUGUUUUUGGUUAUUUUGGACAUUUUUGGAUGUUUUAUCUCAGAUGUUUUUGGUUAUCUCUGAUGUUUUUUGGCCCUCUCCAGGUUUUUGGGCAGCCCCAGGCUCUGCCCUGCUGUAAAUAAAAUUCAUUCCCCACCCUGCUCUGCUCCCUCCCCCCUCUUUGCUCCAGGAUUUUUUAACCCUUUCCUCGCUGCACCUCUGGAAGUUCAGCUUUUCUCUGCAAUCUCCUCUGUACAAUCCCAAGGCUCCUUCUUGUGCUGCCUUUUCCCCUCUCCCUUCUCUGAAGCACUCUUAAUAAAAACUGGAUAAAAACUC